RNAcentral lists this ribosomal RNA (982 nucleotides) under Raphidascaroides nipponensis. RNAcentral's name for it is "eukaryotic LSU rRNA". The stretch from base 439 to 592 matches the Rfam family "5.8S ribosomal RNA". The record is from RNAcentral. Lineage: Eukaryota; Metazoa; Nematoda; Chromadorea; Rhabditida; Anisakidae.
AUCGAGCUUAGACCAAAAGUCUCCGAACGUGCAUGCCUUCCAUGUGCACGUAUACGUGAGCCGCACAGCGAGUUGCACACACGUGGUGGUGGUGGCCGUCAGCCGUGUUUUUUUGGCAGACAGUGGUCUGUAGCUUGCUGUGCGUUGAGGGGGGAUAGGUGACGUAUUCGGGCUAGUUAGAAAGGUACGUCGCUAGCGCUUAUCCUCUCGUUAUUUGCAAAAACGGUAUCCACUUUGGCGUCUACGCCUCACCUAGCUAUUGCCUGGACCGUCGGUAGCUAUGAAAUGUGGGGAUAAAGCUCCUUGUCUUUAUGGCGAGUCGAGUAGACUUAAUGAGCCUCAGCUAGGAGGCCGCCAAAACCCAAACACAACCAGUGUUUUAAGAGUAUUGAAUGUGGAAAUAAAGGUGUGCUUUGUGCGCCUUGAAAAUCGAGUUAUAAAUCUUAGCGGUGGAUCACUCGGUUCGUGGAUCGAUGAAGAACGCAGCUAGCUGCGAUAAAUAGUGCGAAUUGCAGACACAUUGAGCACUAAGAAUUCGAACGCACAUUGCGCCAUCGGGUUCAUUCCCGUUGGCACGUCUGGCUGAGGGUCGAAUUAUAACGACGAAGAUCCGUGUGUAGAGUGGCUUCGUGCAUGUCGCGGAGUGGUGCUCAUGCGCGGUGUAUUCGGCGAGCUAUGGAGUGGUGGUGAUGGUGUUGUUGUUGUUGUUGCUUCGGCGGCGGCGGCGAGCACCGCAAUCAGUCACUCGAUACCUUGCUUAGGCGGGAGGAAUCGCUCGCAAUUGUUUGCUUCGUGCGAUGCGAUGAUGGCCGUGAAGUGUUGCGCUCACUCACAGAUAGGGCUCCGAGCAGGUGUUUUCUCUCUCGGUUUGGUGCCCGUAUCGAGAUGGCAAGUGUGUGUAAUUGUAACGCUAGGCGGUUGUCAAACUUGGUUUUGACCUCAGCUCAGUCGUGACUACCCGCUGAAUUUAAGCAUAUAACUA